RNAcentral lists this ribosomal RNA (117 nucleotides) under uncultured bacterium. RNAcentral's name for it is "partial 16S ribosomal RNA". It matches the Rfam family "Bacterial small subunit ribosomal RNA", at positions 1369 to 1482 of the family's 1533-position model. The record is from RNAcentral.
CGUUCCCGGGUCUUGUACACACCGCCCGUCACACCACGAAAGUCGGCAACACCCGAAGCCGGUGGCCUAACCCGCAAGGGAGGGAGCCGUCGAAGGUGGGGCUGGCGAUUGGGGGUG